This 425-nucleotide ribosomal RNA is filed under the name uncultured bacterium. Its description in RNAcentral is "partial 16S ribosomal RNA". It matches the Rfam family "Bacterial small subunit ribosomal RNA", at positions 354 to 796 of the family's 1533-position model. The record is from RNAcentral.
GUGGGGAAUCUUGCGCAAUGGGCGAAAGCCUGACGCAGCCAUGCCGCGUGAAUGAUGAAGGUCUUAGGAUUGUAAAAUUCUUUCACCGGGGACGAUAAUGACGGUACCCGGAGAAGAAGCUCCGGCUAACUUCGUGCCAGCAGCCGCGGUAAUACGAAGGGGGCUAGCGUUGCUCGGAAUUACUGGGCGUAAAGGGCGCGUAGGCGGACAGCUUAGUCAGAGGUGAAAGCCCAGGGCUCAACCUUGGAAUUGCCUUUGAUAAUGGCUGUCUUGAGUUUGGGAGAGGUGAGUGGAACUCCGAGUGUAGAGGUGAAAUUCGUAGAUAUUCGGAAGAACACCAGUGGCGAAGGCGACACACUGGCUCAUUACUGACGCUGAGGCGCGAAAGCGUGGGGAGCAAACAGGAUUAGAAACCCCUGUAGUCC